RNAcentral lists this long non-coding RNA (1480 nucleotides) under Nicotiana tabacum (common tobacco). Its description in RNAcentral is "long non-coding RNA (NTAB_LNC009548)". The record is from RNAcentral. Lineage: Eukaryota; Viridiplantae; Streptophyta; Magnoliopsida; Solanales; Solanaceae.
UUUAAAGGUCACCUUGGCCGCAUCUGAUUUCUACCUCUCCCCGACCAAAACCCUCCUCAUCUGAGUCUAAAACCCAGCCUCCUUGUACAAUCUUCCUGGCAUCAAAAUCACCUCUAUCUAUUUCUCAGGUUCGUUUAGUUUCUUUUCCUCUGUGUUCUUUAUAUAUAUUUAACUCUUUCCGCAUAAAUGUCCAAAGCGUGAAACCCUUUUGUCUAUACAGUCGUGGAUUGAGUAUGUCUAUCAUAGAAUUCACUCACCAGUUUCAUGAUUGUUUUCAUUUGCUGCAAAUUCGUGCAAUCAUAUGUUCUUGCUAACAGAGAAACUAUUUUACAACGACUAUUAUAGCUGGUUUUGACUUCAGAUAAAAGAAGAGUGUGCUGUAAUAGCUAUAAAAUACUACAAAGAAUUAAUAUAGUCCACCCCUACUAGUUUGAGAUUAAGGCCUAAUUUAUUAAUAGGGGCAAACUAGGGAUGCUACUUUAUUUUCCAAUGGUGUACAGGAACUAUAGAUUUUUGCUUAUUUGCUUGGUUUUAUCAAAUGUAUUGUGGGUGUUCUUUCUAUUGGUCAAAAGAAAAGAGUGUUCUUGAAAAAAAAUGUUUUUUUUUUGUAGCAAAGCAAUCGACGUUUUAUGGUGGAUUCAUAGAUUUCUCUAGCAAAAAAUUGAUGUAGUGGACCUCAACUAGUUUGAGAUUAAGGCUUAAUUGGUUGAUAGAGAGAUGCUGUUUUAUAUUUCCAGUUUAGAGUAAAUGAAUGAUGGGAUUUAGCUAAGUUGCUUGAUUUACGUAUCAAAUUCAGGUGGCUCAAAAGAAAAGUGCCAAGUGAUUGAUUAUAUAUGCUGGAUUCAUGGAUUUGUCUUUAUUACUUGCAGUUGAGUUAUAAAAGUUGGUAAGGACAUGAUAAAAAGGCGAUUUUACAAGCUUGAACAUGGUGAUAGAGAUGCUCCUUCGGAGUCGUCUUCAUCUUCCGAUGACUCUGAAUUGGAGGCAGCGGCAACAGAAGACGAAGAAGAGUAUGAGUAUGAGGAGGAGGAUGAUAAUGACACAAAGGAAGAGGAGGAUGAUGUUGCUCGACUGACAGGAGGAAAUGAAUCUUCUUCUGGUAUGUUUAUCCUGAUAAUUUGCAGUUGCUUUUUGCCUCUAUUAUUUGCUGACAUUAUAAUGCUUAGAGGGUAUUUCAAGAAGUGGUAAUUCUCUAGAGCUUUUGUUUGGUUUCUGGAUUAGUAAAACUAAUGGCUGGUACGUUUAGACGAUUGUUUAUUACUCCACAAGAACAUAAGUUAUGGUCUCUAUUAAGUUAUAAAUCCCACAUAGACCCCUCUAGCUUAAAAGAUCUUGUGCUGCUCCACUCAUUGCUUUGGGUUGGAUGUUCAGAUACUUUGAAGUGUCAUCAGCGGCUCCCUUUGGUAAGCCCAUUCUCACAAUCGUAAGUCCAUAAGUUUGCAUGUGAGCACCAAAAUAGGACAUGUUUGUGAGGGUGUCU